RNAcentral lists this ribosomal RNA (253 nucleotides) under uncultured bacterium. RNAcentral describes it as "partial 16S ribosomal RNA". It matches the Rfam family "Bacterial small subunit ribosomal RNA", at positions 524 to 776 of the family's 1533-position model. The record is from RNAcentral.
UACGGGGGGGGCAAGCGUUGUUCGGAAUUACUGGGCGUAAAGGGCUCGUAGGCGGCCAACUAAGUCAGACGUGAAAUCCCUCGGCUUAACCGGGGAACUGCAUCUGAUACUGGAUGGCUUGAGUUCGGGAGAGGGAUGCGGAAUUCCAGGUGUAGCGGUGAAUGCGUAGAUAUCUGGAGGAACACCGGUGGCGAAGGCGGCAUCCCUGGACCGACACUGACGCUGAGGAGCGAAAGCCAGGGGAGCAAACGGG